This 253-nucleotide ribosomal RNA is filed under the name uncultured bacterium. RNAcentral's name for it is "partial 16S ribosomal RNA". It matches the Rfam family "Bacterial small subunit ribosomal RNA", at positions 524 to 776 of the family's 1533-position model. The record is from RNAcentral.
UACAGAGGGUGCAAGCGUUAAUCGGAAUUACUGGGCGUAAAGCGUGCGCAGACGGUUGCGUAAGUCAGAUGUGAAAGCCCCGGGCUCAACCUGGGAAUUGCAUUUGAGACUGCGUAGCUAGGGUGCGGAAGAGGGAAGCGGAAUUUCCGGUGUAGCGGUGAAAUGCGUAGAUAUCAUUUGGAACGCCAAUGGUGAAAACAGCUCGCUGGGAAUGAUCUGACGCUGAGACGCGAAAGCCAGGGGAGCGAACGGG